GUGGGGAAUCUUCCGCAAUGGACGAAAGUCUGACGGAGCGACGCCGCGUGAGUGAAGAAGGCCUUCGGGUCGUAAAGCUCUGUCAUCAGGGACGAACGGCCGGUGGAGUGGAAAGCCACCGGAUUGACGGUACCUGAGAAGGAAGCCACGGCUAACUACGUGCCAGCAGCCGCGGUAAUACGUAGGUGGCAAGCGUUGUCCGGAAUGAUUGGGCGUAAAGUGCGCGCAGGUGGGAUCUUAAGUCCAUUUUUAAAGUUCGGAGCUCAACUCCGUAAUGGGAUGGAAGCUGGGAUUCUUGAGUACCGGAGAGGAGAGCGGAAUUCCCCGUGUAGCGGUGACAUGCGUAGAUAUAGGGAGGAACACCAGUGGCGAAGGCGGCUUUCUGGACGGUGUCUGACACUGAGGCGCGAAAGCCAGGGGAGCGAACGGGAUUAGAAACCCCAGUAGUCC
This 450-nucleotide ribosomal RNA is filed under the name uncultured bacterium. RNAcentral describes it as "partial 16S ribosomal RNA". It matches the Rfam family "Bacterial small subunit ribosomal RNA", at positions 354 to 796 of the family's 1533-position model. The record is from RNAcentral.